CAGAACCUAGCCCCAUGAUGGAGCAUCUCAGACCUAAGCCCACCAAAAUCCUGCAAAAGAAAAACUCUUUAAGGAAUGGAGAACGCGAUAUUUGGAAGGCCUGUGCCAAAGCUCACCGCGAAGUGAAGUUGGCGGACUUCCUCGAAGGCCGAGCACACCCCCAUUAAUUUAGUCCCCUCUGCCAUAGAAGAAUCAAUCCUGGUCAAAGCGUGAUCGCUCGGAGGAACCUCCUCUCCAGGAUCGGAGACUUCGAGUACAGAAGGCUCGGACGAUGUUUCUUCCUCAAAGACUCGACUCUGUUUCGCCCUGCUGUGAGCGCCAUCGCACUACAAAUGCAUAUCCCAUUUAUCAUUGUCAUCCUUUAGCUCGAAAGCUGGCAACCCCUCCCCUUCUCCGAAAGAGCACAGCCUCACCCUUGGAGACCCUCCGAUACCUACAACGGCAAAAUUAAUACAUUACAAAGGGGAAAAUGUCUUCCCAAUUGUGCGAGGGACAAGGUAAAAGCGGCAUACACACAUACCAUGAUACUUUGCUUCCCAUCUGCCCCGGGACAUGGCUCGCCACCUACGCUUGUCACAGAUCGAAUGGGUCGCCAACUUCGAGACCUAGCCAGGCAGAUAAGGAACUUUGCCCGGCGCCCAUGAAAUUGCUACAGGAAAGGAGGAAACACGAUUAAUAAACUAGCUUUCGCCAUGAGCAAAUCUGAGAAAGCACGAGGCGCUCCACUCACGCGUAUAAUUCCAUUCCUCGAGGAAUGGCAUAAGUUCCACAAGGAUAACGUCAGUCGUCUGGACCCGGACGAAUCGACUAGCCCACUCUCGAUCUCUAUCUUCCUCGUCAUUAGCAACAAAGGGCAUGGACGAACGACACCACAAGGUUAGCAGACCUCGAUGAUGAAAGGGCCAGUACAACCUGACAAGGUGACCGAGCGUGAAUUCAAGCCUCGCCUUCUCUGCAAAGAACCUCAUCAUCAGCACUAUUCACCAAAACGACAGAUGUAUCUGCGCCAAAGUAACCCGAUACAUUAAAUAGAAAUCAAGCACGACCCUAUAAAGGGGCCUAAUGUGAAAGGGUACAAGUACACGUUCAGGAAUCCAUCGGCAAGGUCCGUGAUACCCUCAUUCGGGGGAAGCGCUUGCAACGCUACCCUCUCACCCCAUCCAUAGUCUCUCCUUACUAGCUCUAGGUGCUCCUCUCUUAUCGAAGACAUAGUCUUCAAAGUAAACUCCCGUGGAUCCUGAGCACUAGGAGUAGAACUCUCCCCUCUCUACCGGGCAGACCCUAAAGUAGCAGUCAUGGCUAUAGUGGAACUAGCAAAUUGAAGCAGGAACCUACACAAACGCUUUGGAGCUAAGGUAGCGAAGGACUCGAUGCCGAAACGGAAGGAUAGCUAUCUAAGAUAAUGGGAUCUCCCAAGAAGCGGGAGCAACCCCAUAUAUAUAUGGGGAAACAACAACGGUCCGCCUACCCAAGUUAGGCCCAGGAGGGCAACGACUUCAAUACGGGUUCCGAGGUCGUACCCGACCUCGAGGACCUCCAUCGAAAAGAAGUAAGGCUUCAAAAAACCAGCCACAUCAUCUCCAGUUCCGAGGUGGUACCCCACCUUGAGUUUUCCUCUCAAGGAGAAAAGUAAGCACUUCGAGCUCCUUAAAAGGUUAUCUACAUCAAAUUCAAAGUAAAUCUCCAAUUGCUUGAAGUUGCCCUUCACUCAGAGGCCGCUCUCAAAAUUUCGAGGUUCGAUGCUCUAUCUCCACGAGACUCGAGGCUCCCAAUGACCUAAUCCUAUCAAACCACUUCAGGCUUGGUCCUAGAAAUAGUAGUAGGCUCGGAAAGGAGCCAUAUAUCAACUAAAGACCAGAAGGAAUGCUUGCACCGAAUUAGAUAUUGAUGAUCGUCAACAGAAGUAAACGUACAGAAUCCCCGCAAGUGCACAAAAGUAUACAAGAAUAUGACAAGUAUCAAAGGUAGAAGUCAAGAAAACAUCUUUGUAUUUAUAAACAUUUAUAUACAACGGCCCUCGAGAGGUCCUUACAUAUGAUUACAAAAGCCCGCAAAGGGUCUAUGCACAGAAAAAAAAGAAGCAAAGAGGUGCACGCAUAUAGUGAAAGCCGAAGGACCUAGUCUACCGUCUAAAGUUCAUCUCCGAGCGCUACCUCCUCGAGCUCGCAUUCUCAAAGGCAACUCCUACGGCCGCCACCUCCUCUAGGUUCCUAGCUCGAUCCCUUGGAAUAACAUCGCCGAGGGAGAAGAUGAAGAAGAGACAAGGAGGAGGAUGCAGAAGAGGCAGAGAAAACAGACAUAACCCUCCGAAGCCAAAGGUUGAAGAUUCGGCAGACCCCAGCCUCAAUGACCAGUUGUGCCAUUUUAUCCCUUGGGAGAAAAAACCCAAGGGAUGAAGUGCCACACCAGUCCAGGGUAGGAGAGUGAGCAGCGGUAUAUAGUCUGAAUACUCUACCGAGCAACGGUGUAGAGUCCAAACGCCCUUUUAGAUCAGAGGUCGACAGUCGCCCCUAUAUCAUUAUCUCGAGCCAAUAAGGACAGUAGUAGCAAGUGUCACACCUACUUUUUUACCACCCAAGAGGAGAUACAAGGGAGCUUUUCCAAUUAAAGUGACAUUAAUCGAAAUGGGAUUAAUUUAUUUAUCAGAGUCGCCACUUGGAAUAGUUUAUUUGGUGUUCCAAGUCACCAAUUUAUUUUAAAAAUCCCAAUCGAGGAAAAUCAGUUUUAUUUAAAUGUCUGCGAAACCAAAAAUUCUAAGUAAGGAAUUCUGUUAAUCCGGGAAAAGGUGUUAGACAUUCUUGGGUUCCGUGGUUCUAGCGUGGUCGCUUAAACCAUUGAAAUUGGUCUAUUAUCCGAUUUAUUACAUGUUUUAGCCUAUGAUGCCUUUUUAGCUUUAGAACCACUUUUAAUUAAUUUAAACCGCUUUUAGGAUUUAUGGAUUUAUUUAUUUUGAACAACUUACGAUUGUAGUACACUUGUUUGUUUUGGAACAAGUCGCAAACUACGCUACAUGAAAUGCACCCGUGAUUCGCGACAUGUUUUAUUAAACAUUGUUGAGAACUGAAAUUGGGUCACAUAAAAUGUACACCCGGAUUUUGUAAUUAAAAAUCACAACUACAUUACGGGAACCAUACCCGUAGCUAUGAUGAAUUAUUUAAAUAACGUGCCCAUAGAAACUACGAAGAUUCAAUUUUCAAUAACAACAUUUGUGAGGGCAAUGGAUGAUUUAAUUUAUUUAUGACACACCUCAAACCUCUUUCUAUAAGUGUUAGUUCCUGAAUCUAAUCUUAUGAGGGCCAUGGAUUAUAAAUUUUUUUUGGCAUGGCACGUCUCAAAUUAUUUCAAAGGGUUUUAUUAUUCGAAAUUGUUAUAAUCGGGUCACAUGAAAUGUACCCCAAAUUUGGGAAUUAGGUAUCAUGACUAUGUCACAGGAACCGUACCCAUAAUCAUGAUGAUUAUUAUUAAUCGCGCCAAAAGCAACUAACGCGUUUGAAUUAUUUAUCUUUACAUUGAGAUUAUUAUUCAAGAAAACCCAUUGAGACAACAGAAAGAUCUAUCAAAUUUCCUUUCAAAGGAAUUCAAGCAAAUCAGAUUUCACAAAAACCAAAGAAUCCAUUCUAAUUACGAAGACGGGUUGCAAGAACUGAAUCAAAAUUCAUGUAAAUCAUAUGGAGAAAUGGAGAUACACACAUGAAUGCAGCUUACCAAUCAAUUUCGCCGGAGAAAUAAGAAGCUAGGAGUUCAUAUCAUAAAACGUAAUAAACUACAUCUGAAAAGUACUAAUACCAUGAUUCCAAUUAUACAUAUAACUUCCGGAUGAAUUACUGAUGCCCUUAAAGCUCUUUUGGCUAUAUUCACUAAUCUCCUUUGGUCUCUAUUACCAAUGAUAGAAAAAAACGAAACAGAAGCUUAAGCAUUCAACUAAUUUGAACCAUUUUUAUCAAACAAAUAUUCAGGAAUUAAAGAUGAACUACACAUAUAAAGGAAACUUUAAAUUAGUAGUGUUGUGCAGUUCCUUGUUUAGGCCUUUUAGCACACAGUACAGUAGUAGAAAAGGGUUCCAUUGAAGUAACAAACACUAAUCUCCCCUUUUGUUCCACUGAUAGUGAACAACUUCUUAACACGUGAAUCAUUAUUUAAACAAUGCAAAGUUCCAACAGUGAGCUAUUCUUGCCAACAAAUAACACUAAAAGAACUUAAUUCACCCGAACAAUAUUGCAAAACAAACUGGAGAUUCAAGUCAUUUUUAACAGCCAACAAAACAAUUUUGAGUAAUCAAGCACAAAUUUAACAUAGAGCAGCAGAUCACAUCUUCAUAUCAUUGAUUCAAACAGAAGGUUGGACAUGAACAUAUCUAAUUGCAUAGGAAUAACAGAAUUUUGACCGAAACGAAAAUCAAAAGGGAAAGGAUUGAUCCUAGCUCUUGUUCGAGUGAGAAGCAGCAACAGAACAUCAAAAUAGCCCAGGAAAUCACCUCAAAACCCAGGUCGGAUUCAGUCAAUUUCUAAUUAACGAGACGCCAUAGAAGAGAGGUCGGCAGACAAACAACAUCAACAACAAACAACAACAGCUCCUUUAAAUUUUCAGAAGUACCAAAUGGAGGAGCAAGGCUGAAACGCAAAGAAGCUUGAAAUCCAAAGAAAAGGUCGAAUGAGUUACCGGAAAAACCACUCGUUCGCCAAUAAAGCAGACUUCGAGCUCUAAGGAUUCAUAAGGGGUCCGAUGACUGGCCGGAUUUUUUGCAUUGACUCGUCGGAGAUGAAGCAAAAAAAAUGACGGAUGUAUAGAUUUUGGAGUAGAAGGCUCUAUUCUUGUUCUAACUCAAGGAUUAGGUGGGUUUUUAGUGAAGAAGAAGAGGCCUAGCUUAAAGGGUGUGGAGGAAAAAAUGGAGAUCAGGGGUGUUCUUUGGUUGUCAUCUGAAGAAGGAGCAGAGGCGUGAGGGUGUGAAGAAGAAAAAGUUCCGGGGGG
This 4968-nucleotide long non-coding RNA is filed under the name Nicotiana tabacum (common tobacco). RNAcentral describes it as "long non-coding RNA (NTAB_LNC005493)". Lineage: Eukaryota; Viridiplantae; Streptophyta; Magnoliopsida; Solanales; Solanaceae. The record is from RNAcentral.